This 389-nucleotide ribosomal RNA is filed under the name Prymnesiophyceae sp. RNAcentral describes it as "partial small subunit ribosomal RNA". It matches the Rfam family "Eukaryotic small subunit ribosomal RNA", at positions 582 to 975 of the family's 1831-position model. Lineage: Eukaryota; Haptophyta. The record is from RNAcentral.
AUUCCAGCUCCAAUAGCGAAUAUUAAAGUUGUUGCAGUUAAAAAGCUCGUAGUCGGAUUUCGGGGCCUGCCGAGCGGUCUGCCGAUGGGUAUGCACUGUUCGGCGCGUCCUUCUUUCCGGAGACUAAUUCUACUCUUAACUGAGCGGAAUUGGGAGACGGAUCGUUUACUUUGAAAAAAUCAGAGUGUUUCAAGCAGGCAGCUCGCUCUUGCAUGGAUUAGCAUGGGAUAAUGAAAUAGGACUUUGGUGCUAUUUUGUUGGUUUCGAACACCGAAGUAAUGAUUAACAGGGACAGUCAGGGGCACUCGUAUUCCGCCGAGAGAGGUGAAAUUCUCAGACCAGCGGAAGACGAACCACUGCGAAAGCAUUUGCCAGGGAUGUUUUCAUCA